ACAUUCAUCACCCCCCCAAACACGUGGAGACAGUGCUUGCUCUGCAGAUGCGGCUUCUACGAAAUGCCCUGAACCCCACUUCCAGCUAGACUUGGUGCCCUUGAACCCAUAGAAAUCCUGGAGCAGCACUCCUUUCGUCGGGGCUACUGGAGGUCACCAACAGAGUGCUUGGGGGGGCUUAUGAGUUUGACCCCAAACAUCCUGAUUUCAGAGCCACACCGUUUUGUAGGGUUAGUUAAUCCAGCUGUCCAAGGAGCACUAAUGCACUGGAAGGAAAUUGGUUUUAUUUUGCCCUAUGGCUACAAAGUCUUUGGUCCUAGGGAGAUGGAGGACAGAUUGAGAGAGCAGAACGAUCAUUUUAAAUUAAUUACCUCCCUCCCAACAUCUUGGCCUAGGAAGGACAGCACACAUGGAAGCAAGGAUUCCUCAUGUGUCUGCAAGUUACAUGAACUAAUCCAGAAGUAUGUAGAGUUGGUAUCCAGAGUCAAAAUACCAACUGUUUUAUUUAGAUCCCACCUCUUUACAAAAGACGGUUCCUUCUUUGAAGGAGUUUAUAAUCCGGAUAGAUGAGAAUAACACAUAAAUCAAUAGACCUUGGUGAAGGUGUUGAUAGAAGUUGGUGCCAGGGCUGGACUCCUGAUACCUGGUCCAGAGCAUUUCCCAUUAUCACGUCAUGCCCUGGUUAUACGAGCCGUUGGAGUUCCAAGGAGGUUAUCGCUAGUGGGAGAGUUGUCUGUCACCCUAGUCCUCCAUUACCAGAAUCACUUGGGGUUGGCGUGUAAGGUCACCGAAUGUCGAUUGCUUGCACCACCGUAGCUCACGUGCUGCUACCUGCCACCAAGCUCGCUCCAGCUGGUCCUCCCCACUCCCACUUUCCAUUCCCAAAUGCUCUCCCUCCCCUUUGAGGGAGAGCCACUCCUACUCAUACUUCGGCUUCAGCAAAGACAUGAUUUCCUCCAG
Molecule: non-coding RNA, 960 nt
Organism: Leptonychotes weddellii (Weddell seal)
Lineage: Eukaryota; Metazoa; Chordata; Mammalia; Carnivora; Phocidae
Source: RefSeq, a predicted model, not a curated record